GAUGAACGCUGGCGGCGUGCCUAAUACAUGCAAGUCGAGCGAACGGACGAGAAGCUUGCUUCUCUGAUGUUAGCGGCGGACGGGUGAGUAGCACGUGGAUAACCUACCUAUAAGACUGGGAUAACUUCGGGAAACCGUAGCUAAUACCGGAUAAUAUUUUGAACCGCAUGGUUCAAAAGUGAAAGACGGUCUUGCUGUCACUUAUAGAUGGAUCCGCGCUGCAUUAGCUAGUUGGUAAGGUAACGGCUUACCAAGGCAACGAUGCAUAGCCGACCUGAGAGGGUGAUAGGCCACACUGGAACUGAGACACGGUCCAGACUCCUACGGGAGGCAGCAGUAGGGAAUCUUCCGCAAUGGGCGAAAGCCUGACGGAGCAACGCCGCGUGAGUGAUGAAGGUCUUCGGAUCGUAAAACUCUGUUAUUAGGGAAGAACAUAUGUGUAAGUAACUGUGCACAUAUUGACGGUACCUAAUCAGAAAGCCACGGCUAACUACGUG
This 497-nucleotide ribosomal RNA is filed under the name uncultured bacterium. Its description in RNAcentral is "partial 16S ribosomal RNA". It matches the Rfam family "Bacterial small subunit ribosomal RNA", at positions 28 to 507 of the family's 1533-position model. The record is from RNAcentral.